RNAcentral lists this ribosomal RNA (389 nucleotides) under uncultured bacterium. RNAcentral describes it as "bacterial SSU rRNA". It matches the Rfam family "Bacterial small subunit ribosomal RNA", at positions 30 to 423 of the family's 1533-position model. The record is from RNAcentral.
AUUGAACGCUGGCGGCAUGCCUUACACAUGCAAGUCGAACGGUAGAGGGGGCAACCCCCUUGAGAGUGGCGAACGGGUGAGUAAUAUAUCGGAACGUGCCCAGUCGUGGGGAUAACGUAGCGAAAGUUACGCUAAUACCGCAUACGAUCUAAGGAUGAAAGCGGGGGACUCGCAAGAGCCUCGCGCGAUUGGAGCGGCCGAUAUCAGAUUAGGUAGUUGGUGGGGUAAAGGCUCACCAAGCCAACGAUCUGUAGCUGGUCUGAGAGGACGACCAGCCACACUGGAACUGAGACACGGUCCAGACUCCUACGGGAGGCAGCAGUGGGGAAUUUUGGACAAUGGNGCAAGCCUGACUCCAGCAAUGCGCUGCAGGAUGAAGGCCUUCGGUU